Molecule: long non-coding RNA, 732 nt
Organism: Leptinotarsa decemlineata (Colorado potato beetle)
Lineage: Eukaryota; Metazoa; Arthropoda; Insecta; Coleoptera; Chrysomelidae
Source: RefSeq, a predicted model, not a curated record
UAUAAAUAAAAACACGUUUCAUUGAACUCGAAUAUAUUUAUUAAAUAUCACAAAUACAACAAUGAAUAAAAUUUGAAGGAUUAAUAAAUUACUGGUUUAGAAAAAUAGCUGAGAGUUUGCUAGUGCAAUCAACUUUGAAGAAAAUAUAAAAAUAUUAGUUUUUUUCUAGACAAAACAUUUGAACGAUAUUAUAUUUGAGUAUGGUAAAAAUAACUUAUUUUCUUUUGAAGAAUUAAAAAAAAAAAUAGUUUAUAUCGAAAUCAAAUCCCACAAUGAAAGCUGUAUUUAUACAAAGAUGCAGAAAAAGAAAUGAAAAUAGUGAAAAUUACAAAUCAUUUUCAAUGAGAACAAAAUCCGGGCUAGUAGGUUUCGGUCAAGAAAAACCUGCAGUACCAAAUGUUUUGUCUGUUACUCCGGCAGACAUCAUCAGUAUAUACGUUGACUGCGAGAAUAAAAGUUAUAUCUCGAAAUCUCAGCAACGACUGACUGGUGAGCUACGUGUUCACUCCUAUUUUUAUUUAAGAUGCAAUAUAUAGUUAUAUAUAGGAGAGCUUUCCAAAUUUCUGCUAAUGCAGUUGUCAGUUAUAAAGGUUGAUCAAACCACUAAAGUAGACAUAAAAACUUGGCAAGCUAACUUGGAUGUCAACAGGUGGUUCCACUAAUGUCUCACUUUUACGAAGUGAUUUUUAUAAAAUACUCUUUUGGCUUUUCACAGUUUGUCUUCAAUUUGUG